GACGAACGCUGGCGGCGUGCCUAACACAUGCAAGUCGAACGGAACUGUUUUGAAAGAUUUCUUCGGAAUGAAUUUGAUUUAGUUUAGUGGCGGACGGGUGAGUAACGCGUGAGUAACCUGCCUUCAAGAGGGGAAUAACAUUCUGAAAAGAAUGCUAAUACCGCAUGACAUAUCGGAACCACAUGGUUUUGAUAUCAAAGAUUUUAUCGCUUGAAGAUGGACUCGCGUCCGAUUAGUUAGUUGGUGAGGUAACGGCUCACCAAGACCGCGAUCGGUAGCCGGACUGAGAGGUUGAACGGCCACAUUAGGACUGAGACACGGCCCAGACUCCUACGGGAGGCAGCAGUGGGGGAUAUUGCGCAAUGGGGGCAACCCUGACGCAGCAACGCCGCGUGAAGGAUGAAGGUUUUCGGAUUGUAAACUUCUUUUAUUAAGGACGAAAAAUGACGGUACUUAAUGAAUAAGCUCCGGCUAACUACGUG
RNAcentral lists this ribosomal RNA (482 nucleotides) under uncultured bacterium. Its description in RNAcentral is "partial 16S ribosomal RNA". It matches the Rfam family "Bacterial small subunit ribosomal RNA", at positions 28 to 507 of the family's 1533-position model. The record is from RNAcentral.